CCUACGGGAGGCAGCAGUGAGGAAUAUUGGUCAAUGGGCGUAAGCCUGAACCAGCCAAGUAGCGUGCAGGAUGACUGCCCUACGGGUUGUAAACUUCUUUUAUAAAGGAAUAAAGUGAGGCACGUGUGCCUUUUUGUAUGUACUUUAUGAAUAAGGAUCGGCUAACUCCGUGCCAGCAGCCGCGGUAAUACGGAGGAUCCGAGCGUUAUCCGGAUUUAUUGGGUUUAAAGGGAGCGUAGAUGGGUUGUUAAGUCAGUGGUGAAAGGUUGCGGCUUAACCGUAAAAUUGCAAUUGAUACUGGCAGUCUUGAGUACAGUUGAGGUAGGCGGAAUGCGUGGUGUAGCGGUGAAAUGCUUAGAGAUCACGAAGAACUCCGAUUGCGAAGGCAGCUUACUAAACUGCCACUGACAUUGAUGCACGAAAGUGUGGGUAUCAAACAGGAUUAGAUACCCCUGUAGUC
Molecule: ribosomal RNA, 460 nt
Filed under: uncultured bacterium
Lineage: Bacteria
Description: partial 16S ribosomal RNA
Rfam family: Bacterial small subunit ribosomal RNA
Source: RNAcentral